Molecule: ribosomal RNA, 454 nt
Filed under: uncultured bacterium
Lineage: Bacteria
Description: bacterial SSU rRNA
Rfam family: Bacterial small subunit ribosomal RNA
Source: RNAcentral
UACGGGAGGCAGCAGUGGGGAAUAUUGCACAAUGGGCGCAAGCCUGAUGCAGCCAUGCCGCGUGUAUGAAAAAGGCCUUCGGGUUGUAAAGUACUUUCAGUCGUGAGGAAAGGUGUUAAGGUUAAUAACCUUAGCAAUUGACGUUAGCGACAGAAGAAGCACCGGCUAACUCCGUGCCAGCAGCCGCGGUAAUACGGAGGGUGCGAGCGUUAAUCGGAAUUACUGGGCGUAAAGGGCACGCAGGCGGUUAAUUAAGUUGGAUGUGAAAUCCCCGGGCUUAACCUGGGAAUGGCAUUCAAGACUGGUUAGCUAGAGUCUUGUAGAGGGGGUAGAAUUCCAUGUGUAGCGGUGAAUGCGUAGAGAUGUGGAGGAAUACCGGUGGCGAAGGCGGCCCCUGGACAAAGACUGACGCUCGAUGUGCGAAAGCGUGGGGAGCAAACAGGGAUUAGAUACC